Molecule: long non-coding RNA, 299 nt
Organism: Drosophila mojavensis
Lineage: Eukaryota; Metazoa; Arthropoda; Insecta; Diptera; Drosophilidae
Exons: 2
Source: RefSeq, a predicted model, not a curated record
AGCAACAGCAACAGCAGCCAAAUAUAAACGACAGCAGCGGAAAUACAUUUUUGUGCAAACAAAAUGAAACAGCGGAGCAGGUGAAACACUUUUACAGCAUGCGGAAAUUUGGAAUAACUAUCUACACUUUAGUUGUUUCUUGGAGCUACAAUGAUAUUGUCGUCGAGUGCCUUGCUUAACGCUUUUAUAGUUAUAGUAGCCGUGGUAACUACCAGCAAAUACAAAAUACACUGUCCACCAUGGCCAAGCUGCGACGCAUUGGAAUUGUGUUGUCAAUGAAAAUCAUCUUUUAAAAUCAA